UCCGUAGGUGAACCUGCGGAAGGAUCAUUAAUGAAUUACAAAAGCUUUUGAUGGUUGUUGUUGCUGGCCUUUUCGUCUGAAGGGACAUGUUGUGCACGCCUUGAUUCGUCUUCCACUUCUUACCCUUGUGCACUCUUUGAUAGGAUUUCGGCUUGUGGGGUGUAGUGCUUUGGUUUUUUUUCUUAAUUGAAAGGCCUUUGGUUUCCUUAAUCCUACUGUCUUAUACUCUACCACACACCUACUGUAUGUUUUGUAAUGAAUGGUUUAUAUUGCAUUAAGGCCAUGAGCCUUAUAAACUUAGUACAACUUUCAGCAACGGAUCUCUUGGCUCUCGCAUCGAUGAAGAACGCAGCGAAAUGCGAUAAGUAAUGUGAAUUGCAGAAUUCAGUGAAUCAUCGAAUCUUUGAACGCACCUUGCGCUCCUUUGGUAUUCCGAAGGAGCAUGCCUGUUUGAGUGUCAUUGAAUUCUCAAACUCUAUGACUUUCUUGUUGUAAUCUGAUUUGGAUUGUUGGAGGUUGUUUGCUGGGCUUCUUUCUUUGGUGUUCGGCUCCUCUUAAAUUUAUUAGCUUGGGCUCUUUGAUUGGCUCUGCGCUUUGGUGUGAUAAUUGUCUGCACCAUGCUGUGACGCUAUGCAUUUGGCUUUGAUAUGUGUCCUCGCUUUCUAAUCGUCUGGGGGGACAAUUACUUUGACCCUUUGACCUCAAAUCAGGUAGGACUACCCGCUGAACUUAAGCAUAUCAAUAAGCGGAGGAAAAAAAACUAACAAGGAUUCCCCUAAUAACUGGCAGGGAAGGGGGAAAAA
RNAcentral lists this ribosomal RNA (803 nucleotides) under Pleurotus sp. BAB-5007. RNAcentral's name for it is "eukaryotic LSU rRNA". The stretch from base 305 to 460 matches the Rfam family "5.8S ribosomal RNA". The record is from RNAcentral. Lineage: Eukaryota; Fungi; Basidiomycota; Agaricomycetes; Agaricales; Pleurotaceae.